UGGUAAACUGUUUUCUUUACGUAUUCGUUGGAGCAUUUUUACAAACAAAAUGUAUAAAUGCACUAUCGGAUAUGACAUAGAUACAGUUUAA
This 91-nucleotide microRNA precursor is filed under the name Schmidtea mediterranea. RNAcentral describes it as "microRNA sme-mir-277a precursor". Its record names the gene sme-mir-277a. Lineage: Eukaryota; Metazoa; Platyhelminthes; Tricladida; Dugesiidae. The record is from miRBase by way of RNAcentral.